RNAcentral lists this ribosomal RNA (253 nucleotides) under uncultured Acidobacteriota bacterium. RNAcentral's name for it is "uncultured Acidobacteria bacterium partial 16S ribosomal RNA". It matches the Rfam family "Bacterial small subunit ribosomal RNA", at positions 524 to 776 of the family's 1533-position model. Lineage: Bacteria; Pseudomonadati; Acidobacteriota. The record is from RNAcentral.
UACGGGGGGGGCAAGCGUUGUUCGGAAUUACUGGGCGUAAAGGGCGCGUAGGCGGUUCGCUAAGUUGAAUGUGAAAACUCUGGGCUCAACCCAGAGCCUGCAUCCAGAACUGGCGGGCUAGAGUUCUGGAGGGGAUAGCGGAAUUCCUGGUGUGGCGGUGAAAUGCGUAGAUAUCAGGAGGAACACCGGUGGCGAAGCCGGCUAUCUGGACAGAAACUGACGCUGAGGCGCGAAAGCUAGGGGAGCAAACAGG